Acanthosepion pharaonis is the source of this 111-nucleotide non-coding RNA. Lineage: Eukaryota; Metazoa; Mollusca; Cephalopoda; Sepiida; Sepiidae. The record is from the annotation of a GenBank genome assembly.
UGACCAUAUCACAUUGAAACACUUGUUUUUGUCCAAUUACCAAAGUUAAGCAACAUUGAGCCUAGUCAGUACCAAGAUGGGUGACUGCUUGGGAAUACCAAGUGUUGUAAG